GGGCUUGUGGUUUAGUGGUAUAAUACUCCCUUAGCAUCGGAUACGAUCCUCCUUUCCUUCGGAGGAAUCUUCCAAAAGAUCUGGGAGUGGUCCGGGGUUCGAUUCCCCGCGAGUCCA
RNAcentral lists this transfer RNA (117 nucleotides) under Xylaria arbuscula. It matches the Rfam family "tRNA". Rfam says of the family: Transfer RNA (tRNA) molecules are approximately 80 nucleotides in length. Their secondary structure includes four short double-helical elements and three loops (D, anti-codon, and T loops). Further hydrogen bonds mediate the characteristic L-shaped molecular structure. tRNAs have two regions of fundamental functional importance: the anti-codon, which is responsible for specific mRNA codon recognition, and the 3' end, to which the tRNAs corresponding amino acid is attached (by aminoacyl-tRNA synthetases). tRNAs cope with the degeneracy of the genetic code in two manners: having more than one tRNA (with a specific anti-codon) for a particular amino acid; and 'wobble' base-pairing, i.e. permitting non-standard base-pairing at the 3rd anti-codon position. Lineage: Eukaryota; Fungi; Ascomycota; Sordariomycetes; Xylariales; Xylariaceae. The record is from Rfam by way of RNAcentral.